UGUUAUAUACGUGACGUAAUAGGUAUAAGAAAUCAUUUAUAACUUUAAGGGUGUAUGUCAAAAUCUAUGGAAUAUUGUUCACAUUGAAAAUAGUUUUUUUUUAGAAUAAGUAUAUAAAUUGGGUACAUAAAUCAUGGGUGAUUAAUCUGAAUUAAUCAAAUGACAAAGGAUUUUAUGCAUUUGUCAUUUAAUAGUUGGACCUACGGUAUUAUUAAAUUAAUCUGUAUCCACAAAUUGCAAUCGUUUAAUUCUUGGGAGAGCCGAGAGCUGGGGAGGCGAACAGAUGUCUGCUAAUUUGCUGGCUACCGCCUUUGCCGACGCCCUACACCACGUUGCCGAGAGAGAGUAUCUUUGUGUUUCCGACACAGAUUUCAAAACUGGAAAAAAUGAUUAAUGAUAUUACUAUUGAUAAAAAAAAUGCAUCAUAAAAUAGAUAUAAAUAGACUGCAGCUCAGGCCAGAUCAAGUACUUAAAAUCAAUUUAUAUAUAUUAUAUGUGACUAGUGAAGGAGAAAAAGUUAUGGAUAAGGCAAAAUCAAAAUUUGAAUAAACAAAAGAAAUCCAGCAGUUGCUUGUGUGGUGCAAGUGUAACUAUGAAAAAAACUUAGCUUGUUAUGAGUUUUAUUAUGAAUCAUUGCUUGAAACAAACCAAGAGGUAGGUAACUGAUAAAUUACAAGCAAUGGCUGAUUGUUAUAGUUUAAAAUGUACAUUUAACAUGGUAGAAGUGGCCAUCAAAGAGCCAGAAGACUGAUCAAAACAAUAUAUUUUCCUCUUGUCAAGAUGCAAUUUUGUUACUUUUUUGUUGUUUUAGUAUUGGUUUAGCUUUUUACUUUGCUUUUACAUAAUUUCAUAGAUAUUCAAGUUUUUUAACUCUUAUAGUUUUAAGUUAAUUAAUCAACUCAUUAACUUAAACAUGUUCUGUAAGUACAUAUUUUACAAUAUUUAAUAAAUAGGUUUUGCAUGCA
Long non-coding RNA from Pieris napi, 965 nucleotides. RefSeq lists it as uncharacterized. Lineage: Eukaryota; Metazoa; Arthropoda; Insecta; Lepidoptera; Pieridae. The record is from RefSeq and is a predicted model, not a curated record. The transcript has 2 exons.